AUACGUAGGGUGCAAGCGUUGUUCGGAAUCAUUGGGCGUAAAGCGUACGUAGGCGGACUAGCAAGUCAGGUGUGAAAUCCCACAGCUUAACUGUGGAACUGCGCUUGAAACUGCUAGUCUUGAGGAUGGUAGAGGCAAGUAGAAUUCCUGGUGUAGAGGUGAAAUUCGUAGAUAUCAGGAGGAAUACUCGUGGCGAAGGCGGCUUGCUGGGCCAUUCCUGACGCUGAGGUACGAAAGUGUGGGGAGCAAACAGGAUUAGAAACCCCAGUAGUCC
Molecule: ribosomal RNA, 274 nt
Filed under: uncultured bacterium
Lineage: Bacteria
Description: partial 16S ribosomal RNA
Rfam family: Bacterial small subunit ribosomal RNA
Source: RNAcentral